CAAUGGGAUGCCCAGGAGAGGAAGGCGCUGCAGCAGGUGGUUAAAACCAUCCAGAAGGUCAUUGGUACCCAUUUAUCGAGUAUCAGUGAUAUUGGUUUCUGAGACCACAAGCUCACCUACGGAGCCAGUGGGCUCCAUCAUAGGUGAGACGGGGUUGGAUCGUUUACUAGCCUCUGAAGUGUAGGUUGAUUUUGAUACUACAGACUCCUUCAAUGAGAAAGAUCAUUUGGGAGUACUACUCUGACCUCAGACAUCAGUUUGAUCCAUGGAAUUUUAGGUCUUCUGGUGGGAGGAUGGAUGGGAGUCCAGAUGUUACCAUGAUGACCUCAGUGGACAAGACCUAAGAAAGAAGAAGUGGCUGGUGAAGGGAAGUGCUGCCUACAGUCCUCCAAAGACCAGUGUGAUGGACAAGACACUCCUCAGAGACCUGAGUAACAUGACAUUGUUCAAGCACACAGGGGAGCUGGAGGUUUACCACAGCUCAAUGCUGAAGUAUGCAGAGAAGAGGAGGCACAUCAAAUACACCCCCACGCAGGCCAGAACUCAGCUCAGUGUCAUGGAUAACAACUACAAUGAUGAAUUGUUGAUGAAAAGUUGUUCUAGUUGCCCUUUUCUUAGCUGUCAGCUAUUUGCCUUUAGUGGGAUAAGUUUAAUGUGGUCUCACUGUUCCACCUUGUGGCAGUGCUAGGCCUAGCGGUAACUCAAUCUAAGCAACCAUUUGCCAUUCAGCUCGAUGUUUAAUGGUCCAAAGACAGACAAAUAGUCUGUCAUUGAUGACACAUCAUAUCAUGUCUCUUGGGGCAGCGGUGGCCCAAAGGUUACAGAAGCGAGCUUGUGACCAUGAGGUAAAAUCUGGGUAUGGAAAGUAAAACAAGCAGUGCUUGCCCACCCUAAUUUAUCACCAUUGAGGUGCCCUUGAGCAAGGCCCAUAACCCUAACAACUCCAGCUGAGCUGCUCAGUGGUCAGCAGAUCAGG
Long non-coding RNA from Micropterus dolomieu (smallmouth bass), 976 nucleotides. RefSeq lists it as uncharacterized. The transcript is spliced from 4 exons. NCBI's taxonomy places the organism in Eukaryota, Metazoa, Chordata, Actinopteri, Centrarchiformes, Centrarchidae. The record is from RefSeq and is a predicted model, not a curated record.